GCCUCUGUAGCUCAGUUGGUUAAAGCGCUGCACCGGAAUCGCAGGGCCGUAGGUUCAAUUCCUACCAGAGGAC
Molecule: transfer RNA, 73 nt
Filed under: Paramuricea clavata
Lineage: Eukaryota; Metazoa; Cnidaria; Anthozoa; Malacalcyonacea; Plexauridae
Rfam family: tRNA
About the family: Transfer RNA (tRNA) molecules are approximately 80 nucleotides in length. Their secondary structure includes four short double-helical elements and three loops (D, anti-codon, and T loops).
Source: Rfam by way of RNAcentral